AUUGAACGCUGGCGGCAGGCCUAACACAUGCAAGUCGAGCGGUAGAGAGAAGCUUGCUUCUCUUGAGAGCGGCGGACGGGUGAGUAAUGCCUAGGAAUCUGCCUGGUAGUGGGGGAUAACGUUCGGAAACGGACGCUAAUACCGCAUACGUCCUACGGGAGAAAGCAGGGGACCUUCGGGCCUUGCGCUAUCAGAUGAGCCUAGGUCGGAUUAGCUAGUUGGUGGGGUAAUGGCUCACCAAGGCGACGAUCCGUAACUGGUCUGAGAGGAUGAUCAGUCACACUGGAACUGAGACACGGUCCAGACUCCUACGGGAGGCAGCAGUGGGGAAUAUUGGACAAUGGGCGAAAGCCUGAUCCAGCCAUGCCGCGUGUGUGAAGAAGGUCUUCGGAUUGUAAAGCACUUUAAGUUGGGAGGAAGGGCAGUAAAUUAAUACUUUGCUGUUUUGACGUUACCGACAGAGUAAGCACCGGCUAACUCUGUG
RNAcentral lists this ribosomal RNA (484 nucleotides) under uncultured bacterium. Its description in RNAcentral is "partial 16S ribosomal RNA". It matches the Rfam family "Bacterial small subunit ribosomal RNA", at positions 30 to 507 of the family's 1533-position model. The record is from RNAcentral.